This 492-nucleotide ribosomal RNA is filed under the name uncultured bacterium. Its description in RNAcentral is "partial 16S ribosomal RNA". It matches the Rfam family "Bacterial small subunit ribosomal RNA", at positions 29 to 507 of the family's 1533-position model. The record is from RNAcentral.
AGUGAACGCUGGCGGUAGGCCUAACACAUGCAAGUCGAACGGCAGCACAGUAAGAGCUUGCUCUUACGGGUGGCGAGUGGCGGACGGGUGAGGAAUACAUCGGAAUCUACUUUUUCGUGGGGGAUAACGUAGGGAAACUUACGCUAAUACCGCAUACGACCUACGGGUGAAAGCAGGGGAUCUUCGGACCUUGCGCGAUUGAAUGAGCCGAUGUCGGAUUAGCUAGUUGGCGGGGUAAAGGCCCACCAAGGCGACGAUCCGUAGCUGGUCUGAGAGGAUGAUCAGCGACACUGGAACUGAGACACGGUCCAGACUCCUACGGGAGGCCGCAGUGGGGAAUAUUGGACAAUGGGCGCAAGCCUGAUCCAGCCAUACCGCGUGGGUGAAGAAGGCCUUCGGGUUGUAAAGCCCUUUUGUUGGGAAAGAAAAGCAGCAGGUUAAUACCACGCUGUUCUGACGGUACCCAAAGAAUAAGCACCGGCUAACUUCGUG